This 500-nucleotide ribosomal RNA is filed under the name uncultured bacterium. RNAcentral describes it as "bacterial SSU rRNA". It matches the Rfam family "Bacterial small subunit ribosomal RNA", at positions 16 to 507 of the family's 1533-position model. The record is from RNAcentral.
AUCAUGGCUCAGGAUGAACGCUAGCGGCAGGCUUAAUACAUGCAAGUCGAGGGGCAGCAGCUUUGUAGCAAGUACAGGGGCUGGCGACCGGCAAACGGGUGCGGAACACGUACGCAACCUUCCUUUAACUGGAAGAUAGCCCACCGAAAGGUGGAUUAAUACUCCAUAACAUAUUGAAGAGGCAUCUCUUUGAUAUUAAAGCUCCGGCGGUUAAAGAUGGGCGUGCGUCUGAUUAGGUAGUUGGCGGGGUAACGGCCACCAAGCCUUCGAUCAGUAGCUGAUGUGAGAGCAUGAUCAGCCACACGGGCACUGAGACACGGGCCCGACUCCUACGGGAGGCAGCAGUAAGGAAUAUUGGUCAAUGGAGGCAACUCUGAACCAGCCAUGCCGCGUGCAGGAAGACGGCCCUCUGGGUUGUAAACUGCUUUUAUUCGGGAAUAAACCUAUCUACGUGUAGAUAGCUGAAUGUACCGAAGGAAUAAGGAUCGGCUAACUCCGUG